CCUACGUGAGGCAGCAGUGAGGAAUAUUUGUCAAUGGGCGGAAGCCUGAACCAGCCAAGCCGCGUGAGGGAAGAAGGUACAGCGUAUCGUAAACCUCUUUUGUCAGGGAACAAAGGCGGGGACUAGUCCCCGGAUGAGGGUACCUGAAGAAAAAGCAUCGGCUAACUCCGUGCCAGCAGCCGCGGUAAUACGGAGGAUGCGUGCUUUAUCCGGAGUUAUUGGGGUUAAAGGGUGGGCAGGCGGCCUGUUAAGUCAGCGGUAAAAGCCCGGGGCGCAACCCCGGCGAGCCGUUGAAACUGGCGGGCUGGAGUGGGAGAGAGGGACGCGGAAUGCGCGGUGUAGCGGUGAAAUGCUUAGAUAUCGCGCAGAACCCCGAUGGCGAAGGCAGCGUACCGGCUCCACACUGACGCUGAGGCACGAAAGCGGGGGUAUCGAACAGGAUUAGAUACCCGAGUAGUC
Molecule: ribosomal RNA, 459 nt
Filed under: uncultured bacterium
Lineage: Bacteria
Description: partial 16S ribosomal RNA
Rfam family: Bacterial small subunit ribosomal RNA
Source: RNAcentral